This 253-nucleotide ribosomal RNA is filed under the name uncultured bacterium. Its description in RNAcentral is "partial 16S ribosomal RNA". It matches the Rfam family "Bacterial small subunit ribosomal RNA", at positions 524 to 776 of the family's 1533-position model. The record is from RNAcentral.
UACGUAGGGACCGAGCGUUGUCCGGAAUCAUUGGGCGUAAAGAGCGUGUAGGCGGCUAUUUAAGUCCUGCGUGAAAUCCUGCGGCUCAACCGCAGACGGUCGUGGGAAACUGGAUGGCUAGAGUGCGGGAGAGGAGAGUGGAAUUCCAGGUGUAGCGGUGAAAUGCGUAGAUAUCUGGAGGAAUACCGGUGGCGAAGGCGGCAUCCUGGACCGACAUUGACGCUGAACGGCGAAAGCUAGGGGAGCAAACGGG